AAAAUUUCUGCAGAAUCUUCCAAAUUUUCCUUCUGCUUUCCCAAAAGCCACAAAUUUGUAGGAAUUUAUCCUUUGAUGCCUUUGGGAUUUGCUCAUUUCAAUCACCUAAGCACCCUUUUCCCUUUUAAAUAAUCCAAGAUUUUCAUAUUUUUAUCAUCUACAUAUUCAUAGAUAUAGUAUUUAUUAAAAAAGAUUCAAUUUUUCCAACACCCAUUUGGGAAUUGUUGUUGGUUUCAUCAUCAUGGGGUUUGUUGGUGAUGGUAGUUGUAGUAGUAGUGGUGGUGAUAAAGGAGGGUGCUUUAUUGGGGGUAUGAAAAGUCUUGUAAGAAGGAAGCAGGUUGAUUCUGCAAAUUCAAAAUCAUCUUCUACAUCUGGUUCUUCUCAUCAAUUAGCUAAAGCCUUAACUAUACCUCAUCUUAUUACUAUAGGGGUUGGUUCAACAAUAGGCGCUGGGGUGUAUAUUCUAGUCGGCACAGUUGCUAGAGAGCACUCAGGCCCGGCACUCACCAUUUCAUUUUUAAUAGCUGGAAUAGCAGCUGCUCUUUCUGCCUUUUGCUA
Molecule: unclassified non-coding RNA, 558 nt
Filed under: Hevea brasiliensis (rubber tree)
Lineage: Eukaryota; Viridiplantae; Streptophyta; Magnoliopsida; Malpighiales; Euphorbiaceae
Source: RNAcentral